RNAcentral lists this ribosomal RNA (673 nucleotides) under uncultured bacterium. RNAcentral's name for it is "bacterial SSU rRNA". It matches the Rfam family "Bacterial small subunit ribosomal RNA", at positions 8 to 669 of the family's 1533-position model. The record is from RNAcentral.
AGAGUUUGAUCCUGGCUCAGGAUGAACGCUAGCGACAGGCUUAACACAUGCAAGUCGAGGGGCAGCGGGGGAGUAGCAAUACUCCCGCCGGCGACCGGCGCACGGGUGAGUAACACGUAUGAAACCUGCCCGUAGCAGGGGGAUAAGCAGAAGAAAUUCCGUCUAAUACCGCGUAACAACCCUUGGAGGCAUCUCCCGGGGUUUAAAGGAAGCGAUUCCGGCUACGGAUGGUCAUGCGUCGCAUUAGCUAGUUGGCGGGGUAACGGCCCACCAAGGCGACGAUGCGUAGGGGUUCUGAGAGGAAGGUCCCCCACACUGGUACUGAGACACGGACCAGACUCCUACGGGAGGCAGCAGUGAGGAAUAUUGGUCAAUGGCCGCAGGGCUGAACCAGCCAAGUCGCGUGAGGGAUGACGGUCCUAUGGAUUGUAAACCUCUUUUGUCAGGGAGCAAAGGACGCCACGUGUGGCGUUUUGCGAGUACCUGAAGAAAAAGCAUCGGCUAACUCCGUGCCAGCAGCCGCGGUAAUACGGAGGAUGCGAGCGUUAUCCGGAUUUAUUGGGUUUAAAGGGUGCGCAGGCGGAAUGUCAAGUCAGCGGUAAAAUUUCGGGGCUCAACCCCGUCGUGCCGUUGAAACUGGCGUUCUUGAGUGAGCGAGAAGUAUGCGGAAUGC